RNAcentral lists this long non-coding RNA (1084 nucleotides) under Mustela putorius furo (domestic ferret). Its description in RNAcentral is "lncRNA (ENSMPUG00000031237.1)". Lineage: Eukaryota; Metazoa; Chordata; Mammalia; Carnivora; Mustelidae. The record is from RNAcentral.
GAACCAACCCACCACCUCCAGCCACCAAAAUCACGAUCCCUCCAGCAGUGAACUGCUCAAGAUCCGAAGUCGUAAACCAUCCCACCCCGUCGCCGGGCCCGGAUUUUCUUUCAAAGAAAGUUUCCCUAAAUCCAAAGGAGAAAAGAAGAGAUGUCAAUGGGCGAGAAACCCCGAAAAGCCAACUUUGGAGGUAUUGCUGUUUAAUCAAAUACCUGCCGGCCAUCGGAUAUAUAAAUAUGUGAGGUGCAAUUCUCUGUCUUUCCCCUCUCUUUCGCGUUAGAAAUGAAUAAAUGCCUUUUCCGUGGCGCUCCCUCCUGAUUUGGGGGAGGAGAGGUGGCCAACGAGUAAAUCCGGUGCCGGAGCGCCCCCUAGUGUAAGCAACGUGGAAGAGACGCCGUGGAGACACUCCUGAGAUUCAGUGGUCUGAUGCUGUCCCUUAGCGGAUUAGCGUGGGAUAGGGCUGUGGGUUGAGGCCUGGAUACCUGUGCUGCAGCUGAGGCUCAUACUAGAAUACCUGGGGGAAUUUAAUAAUUCUAACCUAAACCCUAUACACACACACGUCCCCUAUCAGGGAUUCUGAUACUCUGAUUCAUUGGUUUUAGGUGGGACUCAGGUAUCUUUCUUCCCCCAGAUAAUGUGCCAUCAGGGAAGACAACCGAUAUUUGAGAAUUUCCAGGACUUUACAAAAUAAUUACUGGUUACAGUGCAAGUGAGAAAGGUAAUUGGCUUAACACUGACCUUAUAUAUACACAUAUGCUUCAAUAUUUACUAGUUGUAUUUAGAAAACCAUAUGUGCUCAUCAUUAUCCCUAGGCUACUUGGAAGAUUUUAUUUCAAAGAUUUUUUUUUUUUAAUCCAGAUUGUUGGGAAUCUUUGUUCUGAAUGUUAAUGUCAGAUUGUAUCUUGAAAUAAUUUAAGAUGUUUGAAACUCAGUUUUUGUUUUCUGCUUUCUUGGGAUAAACAUAUGAAGUGAGAACUUCAAUAAUGGUGAAAAUCAUAUUAAUAGGAGAAGAAUAAAUGAAACAAGAUGGGAUUGGGAGGGAGACAAACCAUAAGUGACUCUUAAUCUCACAAAACAAACUGAG